AUUAGACUUUGAAGACUAUAAUUUGCUCGAGGAAGUGAAGAGGGUGACUGAAGCAGCUCACAGAACAAGAACUAAAUUAAGUGUGCAUCCUUAUUUUAAGUUGCCGUUUCCCCUCCGAAACCUCCGGCGUGCAGCUGCUAGUAGGAGAACGAAACUCUUGUUCCUUCCAAGUGGACUGUCAAAAAGGGGCCGAAAUCAGUCUCGAUAUGAGCAAAGGAAGAAAUUUAUUUCAUGGACGAUUGAAUGGCGCUUUCACUCGACAGAUGUGUUAUCAUGUGACCAUGGAAUACAUGAGGAUGUGGCCCUUCAUCUUGAUGCAGAGAAAGUCUUGUUUGAGGAGACUGUUUCAUGUCAUCCCGAGACUGACACUGAUCAGUAAAUUCAAGGCAGGGGAGUGAUAAUAUAUGGAAAUCACAAUUCUUUCAUGGGACUGGAAGCGUUAGGUGCUUUGCGGAUGGUGGCUUAAAUUCUUUUCUUGUAGACUUUGAGUAUGGAUAGUGACUAAUGAAACUACAAAGAUAGGGACGAUUCGACAAAUUAAGACACCUCUGUGUAAAGCUUUUGUCAUAGAAAAUGAGAUUAUAGUGUUAGUUGAUGUACAUUCGUCUUACUCAAAUGUUGCAGGUGCUAGAUUAGCAUAAAAAUGAGUUAGUGUGGGCGUUUAACCAGAGUGAGGUUGCUGAGUGGCUCUGUCCAAUACAUCACCCUUAGAUCAAGUCAAAUGGUGUAUUUACCUUUCUUUUCUUCGAUUGCCUUGUUCUAUCUCUCCAAGCUUUUA
Molecule: long non-coding RNA, 778 nt
Organism: Eucalyptus grandis
Lineage: Eukaryota; Viridiplantae; Streptophyta; Magnoliopsida; Myrtales; Myrtaceae
Exons: 4
Source: RefSeq, a predicted model, not a curated record